This is a long non-coding RNA of Corapipo altera (White-ruffed manakin), 474 nucleotides long. RefSeq lists it as uncharacterized. The transcript is spliced from 3 exons. The record is from RefSeq and is a predicted model, not a curated record. NCBI's taxonomy places the organism in Eukaryota, Metazoa, Chordata, Aves, Passeriformes, Pipridae.
GGGAUCUGGCUGCUUCUGUCUUUUCUGGUGCUGGAGCAGUAGAGGGAGGAUUCCCAUGGAAGCAGCUGUGUCAAGUCUCAGCUGGCUGUGGAGGGAGAUGCCCCCAGCCCUGGCAUAUCAGCCUGGGGAAGGGCAGCCGUGCCCAGGAGCAGGAGGUGCUGGGAGCCCAUCCCUGCCAGAGGAGCAAACUCAAAGGCAAGUCUGAUGGAGAGAGGAGAUCCUGCUCCUGUGCUGUCUGGCAGCAAAAACAUGUGAAUGAAGCUGUAAAAGCCCAGUGGUCCCAAAGAGGUGCCUGGUUUUGGCUGCUCCCUUCAUCAGCCUCCUCUGGGAAUCCUUGGCUCUCACCCCAGGAAAAAAGCCCCUGUGACUAGGCUGGAAGACAACACUUGCAGGCUCACCAGCCCUGCUGGAGGCCUCUAAACAUGCAAGGUGAUGAGUCCACCCCAGGGGAAGGUGUGGCAGCCAACAGUUACA